This 334-nucleotide unclassified non-coding RNA is filed under the name uncultured Glomeraceae. RNAcentral's name for it is "sequence contains 18S rRNA gene". Lineage: Eukaryota; Fungi; Glomeromycota; Glomeromycetes; Glomerales; Glomeraceae. The record is from RNAcentral.
CCCAACUAUCCCUAUUAAUCAUUACGUCAAUCCUAGAAACCAACAAAAUAGGAUCAAACGUCCUAUUUCAUUAUUCCAUGCUAAUGUAUUCAAGCGUUAGCCUGCUUUAAACACUCUAAUUUUUUCAAAGUAACAGUCCUGAUUUCCCGCCACACCAAAUUAAUGACAUGACGGUUCGUCAGAAGGGAGGAAUCAGAAACACCAGUACAUACCAGAGGCACGACCAGCGCACUGAUCCCGAAAUUCAACUACGAGCUUUUUAACUGCAACAACUUUAAUAUACGCUAUUGGAGCUGGAAUUACCGCGGCUGCUGGCACCAGACUUGCCCUCCAA